Molecule: non-coding RNA, 1437 nt
Organism: Lactuca sativa (garden lettuce)
Lineage: Eukaryota; Viridiplantae; Streptophyta; Magnoliopsida; Asterales; Asteraceae
Source: RefSeq, a predicted model, not a curated record
UCUCGCAAAAUGUUAAUCCAGUUGAUGUUGCAAAAAAUAUUACAGGCUUGGAUCCCGAGACAGCUUUAGUUGUUGUAGUUUCCAAUACUUUUACUACAGCUGAGACUAUGUUGAAUGCAAGGACAUUCAGGGAAUGGAUCUCAUCUACUUUAGGGUAACUACACCAUUUUGUUCUUCCUAUUCUACCCUUACUCUUUAUGUUCUCUUACAUAACUUGGUUGCCUUUUCUUUGCUGUUUAAGGCCAUAAGUUGUUUCAAAGCAUAUGGUUCCAUUCAUGAAAUGGUAAGUUUAAAAUCUCAUCUUUAAUAGUGAAUUAAAAGAAACAAAACCUUAGUCAUGUACCAUGCACAUGCUAUUGGUAGGACUAGGAGGGGUAAAAUAGUCCAAUAAAAGACUUUAGCUUUAUAUUACAUUAUUUUAAACCAAAACCUCUCAAUUUGUGUUCGUCUUCCAUAUCACAUGAAAGAUUAGUUUUAUUCUUAAUAAGCAGCCAUCAGUCUUUCCUGUUGAAUGUCCUUGAAGUCAUUCUAACUAAUACUUUGCAAAAGACAAUUAUACCCUUGUUUAUUCUUACAUGACUAAAUUAAUGUCCAGGGGCUCUUCGGUCUGUUGUGUCCAUUCUCAUUCAAUAUAUAUAUUAUUUUUUUACCAGUUUUAUCUUGUUGAUAAUUUUUUUUGGGGCAGAAUGAUAGGAAAUCUGCAGCUAUGGAAUGAAAAAUGGGUAAGAUGUGCAAAUCCUGAAAAUGAUUUUACACAAAAGAUACUAAGGUAAAUUGUGCUUUUUACUACUUUUACUUUCAUAUUUGUCAACAUUUGAUUGAGUUAUUGAUAAGGUUGGUUGCAUACGAUAAAAAAAGGGUCAAUGGCACUAGAGACCAUGAAGGUUAGUUCUGUAAUUUUCUUCCUAAUUUAAAAUUAUGCAUCUAUUUUUAUAAACGCUUAUUGUGCUAUUAGUUUUGGUGUGGUAGAUUAAACCCCAAAAGAGAAAUUUCAGAAGACCAAUAUGCAAACACGAUAUUUUCUUUCACCAACAGGUUUUUUCAUAUAUUUUUUGGUCCGAAUCGGAAUCCAAUUCCAAUCUACUCCUGCAUUUAGUUUAGCUUCCAACAAACACCAUGUCUCUUUCUAUUGCAGGAAAAAGUAAGUAGAACUUUGUUAGCUUAAUUCCAUGGGAUUUAACGGGAAUCGGAAUCCAAGUCUAUUAUGAUCCUUCUUUCAGAUGCAAGAUGUAUAUGGAAAUGCAAAAUAUGAGACGAAAUUGAGAUUAUGGCACAUUAUAUUUGAAAAUAAAAUAUCAAUCAAUAUUAAACUUUUGAUAUUUGAUGAUUUUGAUCCUUUUGGUAAAACAUUGAUAUUUGAUAUUUUUGGAUGUUUUGUUAAAAUUUGAUAGUUGAUUUUGGUAAUUUAAUAUUAGUGUUUGGUUUUGGAUUGUAUAA